This 253-nucleotide ribosomal RNA is filed under the name uncultured bacterium. RNAcentral's name for it is "partial 16S ribosomal RNA". It matches the Rfam family "Bacterial small subunit ribosomal RNA", at positions 524 to 776 of the family's 1533-position model. The record is from RNAcentral.
UACAGAGGUCCCGAGCGUUGUUCGGAUUCACUGGGCGUAAAGGGUGCGUAGGUGGUGAGGUAAGUCGGAUGUGAAAUCUCCGGGCUCAACCCGGAAAUGGCAUUGGAAACUACCUUGCUGGAGGAUUUGAGGGGGGAUUGGAAUACUUGGUGUAGCAGUGAAAUGCGUAGAUAUCGUAAGGAAGACCAGUGGCGAAGGCGGGUCUCUGGACAGUUCCUGACGCUGAGGCACGAAGGCCAGGGGAGCAAACGGG